UAGACAACGACAGUAACACUUAUGUUUAUGAGUUCUCUGCAUCUUCUGGUGGUUUUACAGGUAGAUAUGUGGAUAGGGCCGUGAUUGAAUGGAAAGGAAGAGCACACACGUAUGAGAAAUAUCCUCAACUUCAACUGUUGAGGAUCAUUAAUCUUGCAGAAAACAAAUUGUCUGGGGAAAUUCCAGGGGAAAUAACCAGCAUUCUAGCUAUGGUUGGACUGAACUUAUCAAGAAAUUAUUUGACUGGAAUGAUUCCUCAGGAGAUUGGCCAAUUGAAGCAGUUGCAGUGGCUUGAUUUAUCAAGAAAUCGCUUAUCAGGAGAUAUUCCUGCUAGCAUGGCUGAGUUACAUUUUUUGAGUACGGUGGACCUUUCCUACAAUAACUUGUCAGGGAGAAUUCCAACAAGCACUCAGCUUCAAAGCUUUGAUGCUUCUUCAUUUGCUGGUAAUGUGAAUCUCUGUGGGCCACCGGUCAUACGAAAUUGUCCUGGAGAUGAGAGGCCUCAAAUUGGACCAACAAAUGAUGAUGACCAAGACAACGAAGAAAAUGAUGAUGAAUUCAGGAAUUGGUUUUAUGGUGGUUUGGGAUCUGGAUUUAGCAUUGGCUUUUGGGGAUUUUUGGGCAUUUUAAUGCUACGGCCUUCUUGGAGACGUGUCCUUUUCCAGUUCCUGUAUAAAAAAGGCACCGGAUCUUCGUGAAUAAUUUUAAAACAUGUUUAAAUAUAGUUGAUAAACCUGUGUGAUUUAAUUAUUAUUUUCAAGUGAUAAAUCCAGGUCGAACCUGGAGACUGAAUUAUUAGAUUUUGGUGUGGUUAUGUAAAGGAAACAAAGGAAACAAAGAUUGAGGGGAGAGGAGGGUUUGUAACACAAAAUCAGAAGAAAUCAGAAAUUCAAGAACUAAAUAUGAAAAUCUCAAUUUAAACAAACUUCAG
Molecule: unclassified non-coding RNA, 931 nt
Filed under: Hevea brasiliensis (rubber tree)
Lineage: Eukaryota; Viridiplantae; Streptophyta; Magnoliopsida; Malpighiales; Euphorbiaceae
Source: RNAcentral